Molecule: ribosomal RNA, 253 nt
Filed under: uncultured bacterium
Lineage: Bacteria
Description: partial 16S ribosomal RNA
Rfam family: Bacterial small subunit ribosomal RNA
Source: RNAcentral
GACGAAGGGGGCUAGCGUUGUUCGGAAUUACUGGGCGUAAAGCGAGUGUAGGUGGUUGUCCAAGUUGGAUGUGAAAGCCUUGAGCUCAACUCAAGAAAUGCAUUCAGGACUGGGCGACUAGAGGGCCGGAGAGGAUAGUGGAAUUCCCAGUGUAGUGGUGAAAUACGUAGAGAUUGGGAAGAACACCAGUGGCGAAGGCGGCUCACUGGCCCGAUACUGACGCUGAGGCACGAAAGCGUGGGUAGCAAACAGG